This 469-nucleotide ribosomal RNA is filed under the name uncultured bacterium. RNAcentral describes it as "partial 16S ribosomal RNA". It matches the Rfam family "Bacterial small subunit ribosomal RNA", at positions 28 to 507 of the family's 1533-position model. The record is from RNAcentral.
AACGAACGUUGGCGGCGUGGAUUAGGCAUGCAAGUCGAACGCGAAUCCCUGGGCAACUGGGGAGGAGAGUGGCGAAAGGGGCAGUAAGGCGUGGGUAACCUACCCUCCGGGCCGGGAUAGCUUCGGGAAACUGAAGGUAAUACCGGGCGACGCAGCGAGAUCGCAUGGUCUUGCUGCCAAAGGUCCGCCGCCGGGGGAGGGGCUCACGUGGUAUUAGCUAGACGGCGGGGUAACGGCCCACCGUGGCAAAGAUGCCUAGCAGGUGUGAGAGCACGACCUGCGCCACUGGCACUGAGACACUGGCCAGACACCUACGGGUGGCUGCAGUCGAGGAUCUUCGGCAAUGGGCGCAAGCCUGACCGAGCGGCGCCGCGUGUGCGAUGAAGGCCUUCGGGUUGUAAAGCACUGUCGAGGGGGAGGAAGCCGCAAGGUUGACCUAUCCCUGGAGGAAGCACGGGCUAAGUUCGUG